Molecule: long non-coding RNA, 763 nt
Organism: Gavialis gangeticus (Gharial)
Lineage: Eukaryota; Metazoa; Chordata; Crocodylia; Gavialidae
Exons: 5
Source: RefSeq, a predicted model, not a curated record
CAGGUCUGAAGGCGAAAGUUCAAGAAGCAUCAGGUCUAUAAAUACUCUGCACCAGUUUUGCUGUCCAGCUCCAUUGUACCAUACCCAGCUAACUGUCCCUGCCACACACUCAGAGUACAGUGAUGCCUGUGAAAACAAAAAGAUAUUGCAAAGGAUGUUAUAGUACCAAAGAAACCCCAUCAUUUUCUUGCAGUCUACUUGCAUAAUGUUUAAGCAACACCUCUAUGAGCGUGCUAUUUAGUUAAAGGAAAUGGCCACUGGUGGUGGUGUUACUGGUAAAGAAGUGACAUCGUGCAAGCUUCCUGCUAAGCCGACAUCCCUUCCUCUACUUCCUCCCACCAUAGAGUACAAUAUAGCAUUACAGAUGGAAGAUAAUGUUCUCCACCAGUUCUGUUGUCCACCUUCUGGGUCUAGUAGUCCAUCUUCAAGAUAACAGAGAAGCUCUGGGUCGCUAAGUGUGCAGAGUGCUACAUCUGUAUUUUUCAUCUUUCUCCUCCUCUUUCUCUCACUGGUGUGUAUGAGACUUACACGAUUAUGGAAACACCUGAGAUUCUGGUUUACAUAAAGUUUAAAAAUAAUCAGGAUGGCACAGCCAUAAUUUUUUUGCUAGGAAUGUCUGAUUAUUUUCCUUCUGCUCUUUCUCCUCCAAGUUUUCAUUUCUCCCAGCAGUAUGUCCAGCAUUUAAAUUUCAUAGGAAGUGUAAACAAUAUGUAAAAUGUAUAAUAUAUUUUGAAUUAAAAUAAACAGUGCCAUAAACUUUGCA